GCGGCGGACGGGUGAGUAAUGCCUAGGAAUCUGCCUAUUAGUGGGGGACAACGUUUCGAAAGGAACGCUAAUACCGCAUACGUCCUACGGGAGAAAGCAGGGGACCUUCGGGCCUUGCGCUAAUAGAUGAGCCUAGGUCGGAUUAGCUAGUUGGUGAGGUAAAGGCUCACCAAGGCGACGAUCCGUAACUGGUCUGAGAGGAUGAUCAGUCACACUGGAACUGAGACACGGUCCAGACACCUACGGGAGGCAGCAGUGGGGAAUAUUGGACAAUGGGCGAAAGCCUGAUCCAGCCAUGCCGCGUGUGUGAAGAAGGUCUUCGGAUUGUAAAGCACUUUAAGUUGGGAGGAAGGGCAGUAAGUUAAUACCUUGCUGUUUUGACGUUACCGACAGAAUAAGCACCGGCUAACUUCGUGCCAGCAGCCGCGGUAAUACGAAGGGUGCAAGCGUUAAUCGGAAUUACUGGGCGUAAAGCGCGCGUAGGUGGUUCGUUAAGUUGGAUGUGAAAGCCCCGGGCUCAACCUGGGAACUGCAUCCAAAACUACUGAGCUAGAGUACGGUAGAGGGUGGUGGAAUUUCCUGUGUAGCGGUGAAAUGCGUAGAUAUAGGAAGGAACACCAGUGGCGAAGGCGACCACCUGGACUGAUACUGACACUGAGGUGCGAAAGCGUGGGGAGCAAACAGGAUUAGAUACCCUGGUAGUCCACGCCGUAAACGAUGUCAACUAGCUGUUGGGUUCCUUGAGGACUUAGUAACGAAGCUAACGCGAUAAGUUGACCGCCUGGGGAGUACGGCCGCAAGGUUAAAACUCAAAAUGAAUUGACGGGGGCCCGCACAAGCGGUGGAGCAUGUGGUUUAUUUCGAAGCAACGCGAAGAA
This 878-nucleotide ribosomal RNA is filed under the name uncultured bacterium. RNAcentral describes it as "bacterial SSU rRNA". It matches the Rfam family "Bacterial small subunit ribosomal RNA", at positions 95 to 968 of the family's 1533-position model. The record is from RNAcentral.